This 301-nucleotide ribosomal RNA is filed under the name uncultured bacterium. Its description in RNAcentral is "partial 16S ribosomal RNA". It matches the Rfam family "Bacterial small subunit ribosomal RNA", at positions 509 to 807 of the family's 1533-position model. The record is from RNAcentral.
CAGCCGCCGCGGGAAUACGUAGGUGGCAAGCGUUGUCCGGAAUUAUUGGGCGUAAAGGGCUCGCAGGCGGUUUCUUAAGUCUGAUGUGAAAGCCCCCGGCUCAACCGGGGAGGGUCAUCGGAAACUGGGAAACUUGAGUGCAGAAGAGGAGAGUGGAAUUCCACGUGUAGCGGUGAAAUGCGUAGAGAUGUGGAGGAACACCAGUGGCGAAGGCGACUCUCUGGUCUGUAACUGACGCUGAGGAGCGAAAGCGUGGGGAGCGAACAGGAUUAGAUACCCCCGUAGUCCCUGUCUCUUAUAC